Molecule: long non-coding RNA, 1761 nt
Organism: Oxyura jamaicensis (ruddy duck)
Lineage: Eukaryota; Metazoa; Chordata; Aves; Anseriformes; Anatidae
Exons: 2
Source: RefSeq, a predicted model, not a curated record
CUGAGGUCUCAUUUGCUUGUUCCUAUUUUCUUCUCUGUCAGCUGUCUCCAUCUUAUUUACAAGUGAACCAUUUCAAUUUGCUUGUACUGAUUUUGCUUUUGCUCUACUGUCAGAAUUUAAUCUGGCUAACCUUUUUUGUUCACAUAAAAAUACAUGAUUUAUCCAUGUUAUAAUAUCAGUCUCUGAUAGUGAUGGGAAUGCGAUAACUCUAAAAGAGUUAACAGUUUACAGAAAAUAGCCAAAUAUUAAUAUUUCAUCACAAACAAACUGGCAGUCAAGUCAGUAACCUGUUUUCAGAACCCAUGCUUCUGUCAAUAAUCAGCUCUUGCAUAGCCAGAUUUCUAAAAAUAAGUCAGAGUAUUUUUGCUAUAACUCAUUAUACAAAAGUGUGCACAGGAGAGCAACAACAGAGAUUAGUUUUCUGGGUUGUACUAAAAAUUUCUCUCUCCUACCUUCAUAUUGUCUCAGGUUUUAAUGUGUAGCUGUAAUCAGGGAGAAAAAGAGAAAAACUUCAGUGCAUUGAGCACUGAAGGAAAGAAAUAGAAGCAAACACUACUCAUGUGAGCUUAUGGCUUUUUAAUUAGUGCCUGUGGGAAGAUACUUUGCUAUAUCAAUGCCAUUUAUACUAGUACUAUCUUGAAACAGCAAUGUGCAAAAUCUCUCCCACAUCUCCCACCAUCUUCUGUAGCCCCAGAGGAGACAUACAUAAAUAAGUAAUGGAAAAGCUAGAAAACAGAUUCAAUCAUGCCUGUUUUGCUGAUGCCUGAUUAAGGAUAUUUUUAAAAAAAAAAAAAAAAGGUGGGGGGGGAGUACAGAGGAGGAUGAAGAGUUUAUAUACUUGCUAAAUUCAUAGCAACAGCUGUUGUAUGAAACUCUGGGAUUUGCUAUUCCACAUAGCACAUGAUGAAGGCAAAACUUGCAGGAGUAUAUUUCUUUGUAUAAUGAGGUACGCAGUCAAGCAGUUAAAUCAUUUGCUUUCCCUGGGACACUCUGCUGGGUUCUUUGCCAUUGCAUUUAACUGCUCUCAGGUACUGGAGUGUCAUUCUCACCUUCUUUAUUAUAAUUUUUCCCCUCGUAAUCUACAGUAAAUGGGAAGUUUUACAGUGGAGCAGCUGUUGGUAAAACCAUUGACCUAAAAUAAAGCAGUUCUAACUUACAAACAGUUGGUUUAAGUCACUUAAAACUUCUGUUUACAAGACAACAGAAGCAGCAGCAGGAUGACAACUGUUUGCUCAGGAAAUGUUUGGGAAAUUCUUAUUAGGUUUGUGAAUGACUACUGCCAGCUUAGUUUUCCUAUUCACCCAGCUGGAUUUCCAAAGAUAAUCUUAACUAUUAAAUUGAAAGUCAAGUAGAGUACUGAGAAAGUAGAUGGGUAUGCUCUCUGAAUUAAAAGUCUUAUAUAAAUAAAAAUAUGCUUAAAAUAGAAAGACUUAGUCUGACUUGGCUAAAAUAUGGCAGUCUGAACAGAUACAUUGUGGGUAUCAUAGGCCUAGGAGGUAACUCUAGCAUGUCAAGUUGAGUGUGUAGCCUUAAGUCUUUUAGUUGAAAGUGUGGGGUCACAUCUGUUUUCUGAUACUGUUUAAAAUUCCAGUAUUUUUUUAAUCCUAACCUUUGGCGAUUAUUUUAGUUCUUGAAAACCAGAAACCCCAAAUAAUCUGUCUUCUAUUGUGGUGGUUCAGACACAGCACUGCCUGCAUUUUUCUCCAUGAAGAUUUUCAGAUAAAGACACUACUUUGAGUUAAUCAAAUACACAGGUCAAAA